AACGAACGCUGGCGGCAGGCUUAACACAUGCAAGUCGAACGCGUGUAGCAAUACACGAGUGGCGCACGGGUGAGUAACGCGUGGAUAUCUGCCUUUUGGUUCGGAAUAACCCCGGGAAACUGGGGCUAAUACCGGAUGGUUCCUUCGGGACAAAGAUUUAUCGCCAAAAGAUGAGUCCGCGUACGAUUAGCUAGUUGGUGAGGUAAUGGCUCACCAAGGCGACGAUCGUUAGCUGGUCNGAGAGGACGAUCAGCCACACUGGGACUGAGACACGGCCCAGACUCCUACGGGAGGCAGCAGUGGGGAAUAUUGGACAAUGGGGGGCAACCCUGAUCCAGCCAUGCCGCGUGAGUGAUGAAGGCCUU
Molecule: ribosomal RNA, 365 nt
Filed under: uncultured bacterium
Lineage: Bacteria
Description: bacterial SSU rRNA
Rfam family: Bacterial small subunit ribosomal RNA
Source: RNAcentral